Molecule: transfer RNA, 90 nt
Filed under: Hypoxylon sp. FL0890
Lineage: Eukaryota; Fungi; Ascomycota; Sordariomycetes; Xylariales; Hypoxylaceae
Description: tRNA-Glu
Rfam family: tRNA
About the family: Transfer RNA (tRNA) molecules are approximately 80 nucleotides in length. Their secondary structure includes four short double-helical elements and three loops (D, anti-codon, and T loops).
Source: RNAcentral
UCCGAAUUGGUGUAGUGGCUAACAUUUGACGCUCUCAUGACUAAAAUCAUCAGAACCGUCAAGCCCGGGGUUCGAUUCCCCGAUUCGGAG